Molecule: ribosomal RNA, 497 nt
Filed under: uncultured bacterium
Lineage: Bacteria
Description: partial 16S ribosomal RNA
Rfam family: Bacterial small subunit ribosomal RNA
Source: RNAcentral
GAUGAACGCUGGCGGCGUGCCUAAUACAUGCAAGUCGAGCGAACAGACGAGGAGCUUGCUCCUCUGACGUUAGCGGCGGACGGGUGAGUAACACGUGGAUAACCUACCUAUAAGACUGGGAUAACUUCGGGAAACCGGAGCUAAUACCGGAUAACAUGUUGAACCGCAUGGUUCAACAGUGAAAGACGGUCUUGCUGUCACUUAUAGAUGGAUCCCCGCCGCAUUAGCUAGUUGGUAAGGUAACGGCUUACCAAGGCAACGAUGCGUAGCCGACCUGAGAGGGUGAUCGGCCACACUGGAACUGAGACACGGUCCAGACUCCUACGGGAGGCAGCAGUAGGGAAUCUUCCGCAAUGGGCGAAAGCCUGACGGAGCAACGCCGCGUGAGUGAUGAAGGUCUUCGGAUCGUAAAACUCUGUUAUUAGGGAAGAACAAAUGUGUAAGUAACUAUGCACGUCUUGACGGUACCUAAUCAGAAAGCCACGGCUAACUACGUG